Molecule: ribosomal RNA, 253 nt
Filed under: uncultured bacterium
Lineage: Bacteria
Description: partial 16S ribosomal RNA
Rfam family: Bacterial small subunit ribosomal RNA
Source: RNAcentral
UACGUAGGGUGCAAGCGUUGUCCGGAAUUAUUGGGCGUAAAGAGCUUGUAGGCGGUUUGUCGCGUCUGCUGUGAAAUUUCGGGGCUCAACCCCGAGCGGUCGUGAGAAACUGGCAGGCUAGAGUGCGGGAGGGGAGACUGGAAUUCCUGGUGUAGCGGUGAAAUGCGCAGAUAUCAGGAGGAACACCGAUGGCGAAGGCAGGUCUCUGGGCCAUAACUGACGCUGAGAAGCGAAAGCAUGGGGAGCGAACAGG